GAUGAACGCUAGCGGGAGGCUUAACACAUGCAAGUCGAGGGGCAGCAUAGGGUAGCAAUACUCUGAUGGCGACCGGCAAACGGGUGAGUAACGCGUAUGCAACCUACCCUGUACAGGGGGAUAACCCGGAGAAAUUCGGACUAAUAUCCCGUAAUAAUAUCCGGAGGCAUCUUUGGAUAUUUAAAGUUCCGACGGUACGGGAUGGGCAUGCGUAACAUUAGCUGGUUGGUAAGGUAACGGCUUACCAAGGCUAUGAUGUUUAGGGGUCCUGAGAGGGUGGUCCCCCACACUGGUACUGAGACACGGACCAGACUCCUACGGGAGGCAGCAGUGAGGAAUAUUGGUCAAUGGGCGCAAGCCUGAACCAGCCAUCCCGCGUGCAGGAAGACGGCCCUAUGGGUUGUAAACUGCUUUUCCAGGGAGAGAAACUUGCGCACGUGUUGCGCAAUUGACGGUACCCUGGGAAUAAGCAUCGGCUAACUCCGUG
This 487-nucleotide ribosomal RNA is filed under the name uncultured bacterium. RNAcentral describes it as "bacterial SSU rRNA". It matches the Rfam family "Bacterial small subunit ribosomal RNA", at positions 28 to 507 of the family's 1533-position model. The record is from RNAcentral.